GCAAGGUUAAAACUCAAAUGAAUUGACGGGGGCCCGCACAAGCGGUGGAGCAUGUGGUUUAAUUCGAUGCAACGCGAAGAACCUUACCUACCCUUGACAUGUAGUGAACUUACCAGAGAUGGUUUGGUGCCUUCGGGAACACUAACACAGGUGCUGCAUGGCUGUCGUCAGCUCGUGUCGUGAGAUGUUGGGUUAAGUCCCGUAACGAGCGCAACCCUUAUCCUUAGUUGCUAGCGGGUAAUGCUGAGAACUCUAGGGAGACUGCCAGUGAUAAACUGGAGGAAGGUGGGGACGACGUCAAGUCAUCAUGGCCCUUAUGGGUAGGGCUACACACGUGCUACAAUGGUCGGUACAGAGGGCCGCAAACUCGCGAGAGUAAGCAAAUCCCAGAAAGCCGAUCUUAGUCCGGAUUGCAGUCUGCAACUCGACUGCAUGAAGUUGGAAUCGCUAGUAAUCGCGGAUCAGAAUGCCGCGGUGAAUACGUUCCCGGGCCUUGUACACACCGCCCGUCACACCAUGGGAGUGGGUUGCAAAAGAAGUAGGUAGUCUAACCUUCGGGAGGGCGCUUACCACUUUGUGAUUCAUGACUGGGGUGAAGUCGUAACAAGGUA
Molecule: ribosomal RNA, 611 nt
Filed under: uncultured bacterium
Lineage: Bacteria
Description: bacterial SSU rRNA
Rfam family: Bacterial small subunit ribosomal RNA
Source: RNAcentral